Non-coding RNA from Schizosaccharomyces pombe (fission yeast), 1272 nucleotides. NCBI's taxonomy places the organism in Eukaryota, Fungi, Ascomycota, Schizosaccharomycetes, Schizosaccharomycetales, Schizosaccharomycetaceae. The record is from the annotation of a GenBank genome assembly.
GUUGACGUCACAUCUACGACAUGAAUGGAAGAAUAUAAUCUUUGUUAUAACGGUAAUAAUAAACUUGAUCAGUUUAUGACUAAUUUUUUGCUACUCUAUUUCUCUGUCUACGUACGCCAGUUGCUCAUACUUACUAUAUCUUUAGUUAAAGUAUGUGGCAUAACAAUUGAGUAAAUAAAAAUAAAAAAAAUAAACACUUUUUAAAUAUGGUACUUGAUUUAUAAACACACAUGUUUAAGUAUAUGUACAUAUACAAACCAACGAAAUGUAAUAAUACAUCCAAGUGAUAAGAAUGCAAAAACUUAUUCAACAGCAGAUACACCGUUUCUUCUGUUUAUAACAGCAUAACGUAACAUAUAGAAUUGGAGACAAUAUAAGGUCUUGUUGAGUUGUUAUACCUUUCGAGGUAAUAACGGUUGAUUGGAAGAGCUAGAGUUCUGCGGUAAACCCAUAUUCCUAAAUCAAGCUUUAACCAUCGAAAAAGUAUGAGUCGCAGAAGUGAUUUUUAAAUCAAAUUAGGCUGUAAUUAAAUAAUAUUAUACAAAUACCAUGAAGGCUAUCCAUUUUGAAAAAACAUAUUCAAUGUCUAGAUUUUACGAUUUUCCUUCCUCAAAUCAAGCGUAGGAAAUUUACAUUCCGUAACUUGACGGUUCCAUAAUGAUGCAAGAUUCCAUAUACGUAAUACUACGUUUCCAUCGGUAACUUUAAAAACUUACUACAUUUUUAUUUCCUUAGCAUUUAAAUAGUCGUUGUCAACCGCACUUCCUUUUCGACUCGUUUCUUUAACGUAGCAUGAAGAAUCCUCACAUUCGACAUGACUGAUAAAAGCUGAUGAUACUGUUUUUGCUCCUUAAAAUCUAUCCGUAGAAAAAUAAUGCGCUUUGAGUAAGAAAACUAUACAGAAGCUGCAUCUAAAAAACCCGAAUAUCUUAAUUGACUAUUGUAAAAGUGUUAGUUUACAGAUUUUUGGUAACGAGAUAAGCAACGGAGCAUGCAUAUGAUUACCUAAGUAUAACUUGUACACAAUGAUUUGGUGGUUUGUAAAAAUGAAUCCUUAAAGAAUGCUACAAAGAAGUAACUCAAAAUUCCAACCAUACUAUGCUAAUAGAAACGUGAGGCAGAAAUAGAAAUAAUGGGAUUAUUGGGAUAGUUGAAAAAAUGCUGGAGUUAAACUGAGUCUCCACAAGUAUUUACAUAAACAUUCCUUUCGAAGUAUUUCAUUCAUCUUGCGUGUCUGCACACACUACUAUCAUACAGUUUCUUCUCCCAAAC